This is a long non-coding RNA of Zea mays, 890 nucleotides long. RefSeq lists it as uncharacterized. The record is from RefSeq and is a predicted model, not a curated record. The transcript is spliced from 2 exons. Lineage: Eukaryota; Viridiplantae; Streptophyta; Magnoliopsida; Poales; Poaceae.
AAUCCCGUCACUCUACGUCAGUUCGUUUCACCAUAUCCGUUGGAUGCUUCUUCAUCGGACAUCAUCACCAUUCGUCCUCUCCGCUAGACUUCACCCCCAAAAAAAAAUACCGCUUUUCUUCGUCGUCGGGAACAUUCUAGGCUCCGCACGAAGAGUCGUCUGGGGAAAAAAUUCCGAUCCCCACGACAGCAACACUGGUUCUCCGUUCUCCCUCCUCGUGCGCUCCGCAAUGACUCCCGGAUCCUCCCUCUUGUGCGCUCCGCAGAGUUGAUAUUGAGAUAAUGUCGUCGAGCAACCACAAUCAGGGCGAUAAUGUCAAUGAAUCGCAGUCACAACAAGGUUCUAUACCAUCUGUUAAUGGUUCCGAAGCAAUAGGAGGAAAUGAGGAAGUGGAAGAGAUUGAAGUAUCUAAUGAUGAAGACUAGAAUGGUGGUGUUGGUUCAAAGAGAAAGUUGACUUCAACUAUUUGGAAUGAAUUCAAAAGGGUUAAAGUUGGGGAUAAAAUUGAAGCAAAGUGCAAUUGGUGUGCAAAAAAGCUUGGAGGAGAGACAAAAAAAUGAAACCAAACAUCUUCAUGAUCAUCUCAAGAUAUGCCCAUAGCGUAAGAGUAAAAUGGCCUGGCAAAACAAGACAUUUAGCCAAAGCUCAUUAAGGUUUGGUUCCCAUGAUAAAGGAAAAACCUCAGUGGAAAACAAUACAUUUGAGAUAGGGAAGAGGGAGGGGGGAGGCGCGGGCGGCUUGCGCCGAGGUAGACGGAAUCGGGUAGAUAGAGCAAGGUUAUGUUGGUUUAGCUUUUUAUCAUUUACCAAAAACCUUUUUAUAAUUUCAGAUAUGUAAAUAUAAAUAUAGAUAUAUUCUGAAAAUUAAUAUAAAUACAAUAUUAUUAUUCA